GCUUACCAUGCAAGUCGAGCGCCCCGCAAGGGGAGCGGCAGACGGGUGAGUAACGCGUGGGAAUCUACCCAUCACUACGGAACAACUCCGGGAAACUGGAGCUAAUACCGUAUACGUCCUUCGGGAGAAAGAUUUAUCGGUGAUGGAUGAGCCCGCGUUGGAUUAGCUAGUUGGUGGGGUAAUGGCCUACCAAGGCGACGAUCCAUAGCUGGUCUGAGAGGAUGAUCAGCCACACUGGGACUGAGACACGGCCCAUACUCCUACGGGAGGCAGCAGUGGGGAAUAUUGGACAAUGGGCGCAAGCCUGAUCCAGCCAUGCCGCGUGAGUGAUGAAAGCCCUAGGGUUGUAAAGCUCUUUCAACGGUGAAGAUAUGACGGUCACCGUAGAAUAAGCCCCGGCUAACUUCGUGCCA
Molecule: ribosomal RNA, 413 nt
Filed under: Mesorhizobium huakuii
Lineage: Bacteria; Pseudomonadati; Pseudomonadota; Alphaproteobacteria; Hyphomicrobiales; Phyllobacteriaceae
Description: bacterial SSU rRNA
Rfam family: Bacterial small subunit ribosomal RNA
Source: RNAcentral